UACGAAGGGGGCUAGCGUUGCUCGGAAUCACUGGGCGUAAAGCGCACGUAGGCGGAUUGUUAAGUCAGGGGUGAAGUCCUGGAGCUCAACUCCAGAACUGCCUUUGAUACUGGCGAUCUUGAGUCCGGGAGAGGUGAGUGGAACUCCGAGUGUAGAGGUGAAAUUCGUAGAUAUUCGGAAGAACACCAGUGGCGAAGGCGGCUCACUGGCCCGGUACUGACGCUGAGGUGCGAAAGCGUGGGGAGCAAACAGG
Molecule: ribosomal RNA, 253 nt
Filed under: uncultured bacterium
Lineage: Bacteria
Description: partial 16S ribosomal RNA
Rfam family: Bacterial small subunit ribosomal RNA
Source: RNAcentral